GACGAACGCUGGCGGCGUGCUUAACACAUGCAAGUCGAACGGAAAGGCCCUGCUUGCAGGGUACUCGAGUGGCGAACGGGUGAGUAACACGUGGGUGAUCUGCACUGCACUUCGGGAUAAGCCUGGGAAACUGGGUCUAAUACCGGAUAGGCGCCCGUUUUAGUGUGAUGGUUGGAAAGUUUUUGCGGUGUAGGAUGAGCUCGCGGCCUAUCAGCUUGUUGGUGGGGUAAUGGCCUACCAAGGCGGCGGCGGGUAGCCGGCCUGGGAGGGUGGACGGCGACAUUGGGACUGAGAGACGGCCCAGACUCCUACGUGAGGCAGCAGUGGGGAGUAUUGCACAAUGAGCGCAAGCGUGAUGCAGCGACGCCGCGUGGGGGAUGACGGCCUUCGGGUUGUAAACGCCUUUCGCGAGGGACGAAGCUUUUUGUGACGGUACCUAGAUAAGAAGCACCGGCUAACUACGUG
Molecule: ribosomal RNA, 465 nt
Filed under: uncultured bacterium
Lineage: Bacteria
Description: partial 16S ribosomal RNA
Rfam family: Bacterial small subunit ribosomal RNA
Source: RNAcentral